RNAcentral lists this ribosomal RNA (118 nucleotides) under Rhodococcus sp. IEGM 248. Its description in RNAcentral is "partial 16S ribosomal RNA". It matches the Rfam family "Bacterial small subunit ribosomal RNA", at positions 1 to 120 of the family's 1533-position model. The record is from RNAcentral. Lineage: Bacteria; Bacillati; Actinomycetota; Actinomycetes; Mycobacteriales; Nocardiaceae.
UUCAACGGAGAGUUUGAUCCUGGCUCAGGACGAACGCUGGCGGCGUGCUUAACACAUGCAAGUCGAGCGGUAAGGCCCUUCGGGGUACACGAGCGGCGAACGGGUGAGUAACACGUGG